UACACGAAGAACCUUACCAGGGUUUGACAUGCAAGUGGUAGGAAUCCGAAAGGUGACCGACCCUUCGGGGAGCUUGCACAGGUGCUGCAUGGCUGUCGUCAGCUCGUGUCGUGAGAUGUUCGGUUAAGUCCGCUAACGAGCGCAACCCUCGUCGUGUGUUAUACGUGUCACACGAUACUGCCGGUAUCAAGCCGGAGGAAGGUGGGGAUGAUGUCAAGUCAGCAUGGCCUUUAUAUCCUGGGCUACACACACGCUACAAUGGCAGAUACAAUAGGUUGCGAAACCGCGAGGUGGAGCCAAUCCUCAAAGUCUGUCUCAGUUCAGAUUGUAGGCUGCAACUCGCCUGCAUGAAGUUGGAGUUGCUAGUAAACGCAGGUCAGCUAUACUGCGUUGAAUACGUUCCCGGGGUUU
This 411-nucleotide ribosomal RNA is filed under the name uncultured Leptolinea sp. Its description in RNAcentral is "bacterial SSU rRNA". It matches the Rfam family "Bacterial small subunit ribosomal RNA", at positions 958 to 1382 of the family's 1533-position model. The record is from RNAcentral. Lineage: Bacteria; Bacillati; Chloroflexota; Anaerolineae; Anaerolineales; Anaerolineaceae.